RNAcentral lists this long non-coding RNA (277 nucleotides) under Gossypium barbadense (sea-island cotton). RNAcentral's name for it is "long non-coding RNA (GBAR_LNC002579)". The record is from RNAcentral. Lineage: Eukaryota; Viridiplantae; Streptophyta; Magnoliopsida; Malvales; Malvaceae.
CUGAAGUUGCUGCGAAGAAGAUUGAAACUACAAGUCAGAGCUUUUUGAAGUGCAAUGGAUUGAAACGACAAGACAGUGGACUGGAAUGAAGCUACCUGAAGAAGAAAAGCACCAAGAAGUCGAGACUCGACGAGACCGGGCAAAAUUGGGCUUUCUUAGUCUUUGCUCUGUUAUCGUUACACGACAACGAGCAAAGAGGGGCAGCUGUACAAGCCCAAUUUGAACCCUUCCCAAACCCAUUACAAAACAACCCACCAGCCCAAACCCAAGACCCAAA